Molecule: ribosomal RNA, 301 nt
Filed under: uncultured bacterium
Lineage: Bacteria
Description: partial 16S ribosomal RNA
Rfam family: Bacterial small subunit ribosomal RNA
Source: RNAcentral
CAGUAGCCGCGGUAACACGUAGGUGGCGAGCGUUGUCCGGAAUUAUUGGGCGUAAAGCGCGCGCAGGCGGAUCAGUUAGUCUGUCUUAAAAGUUCGGGGCUUAACCCCGUGAUGGGAUGGAAACUGCUGAUCUAGGGUAUCGGAGAGGAAAGUGGAAUUCCUAGUGUAGCGGUGAAAUGCGUAGAUAUUAGGAAGAACACCAGUGGCGAAGGCGACUUUCUGGACGAAAACUGACGCUGAGGCGCGAAAGCCAGGGGAGCGAACGGGAUUAGAUACCCGCGUAGUCCCUGUCUCUUAUACA